UGGAAACUGAAGCACGGUAGAGAAAUUCAUCAUGGGAGGGAGGAGCUGAAAACCUGAGCAGAGUGUAAGAUCCAAGAGGUCAUGGGCCUUUUUCUUUCUUUGUUUGCCAUGUUAUCUCCAACAUCUGGAACAGAGUCUGGCACAAAGGCUUCCGUGAAUUUGGAGAUUUUUCUGAGCUGGGAGGUGACCAAACAUAUCUACUUCUUUGAUCUCAACACUUCCUGAAAAACAGAUACUAACAACCAAGAUUUUCAGAGAGGCAAGGCUAAGCACCAGCCAGGUCCUCCAUCUUCCAACCCCAAAAUUCAUCCAGAAUGUACCAGGAUGGGGCCUAGAAGUCAACUUCAAACUUUGAUCUUCAAUCCUACAAAGAAUGAUCAUCUCAGAAAACUUAGGGCAAAAGUAAAUAUGCAUGGAUUUACAAAAAUCUCACUCUUUCACCCAAGUUCUUUUUUAGUAGGCAUUACAAAAAACUGGCCAGAAAUCCCACCCUGGGAAAUCUAAUAGAAAUAAAAGCUCUUAUACGUAA
RNAcentral lists this long non-coding RNA (529 nucleotides) under Homo sapiens (human). RNAcentral describes it as "HSALNT0361531". The record is from RNAcentral. Lineage: Eukaryota; Metazoa; Chordata; Mammalia; Primates; Hominidae.